GACGAACGCUGGCGGCGUGCUUAACACAUGCAAGUCGAACGGAAAGGCCCUGCUUUUGUGGGGUGCUCGAGUGGCGAACGGGUGAGUAACACGUGAGUAACCUGCCCUUGACUUUGGGAUAACUUCAGGAAACUGGGGCUAAUACCGGAUAGGAGCUCCUGCUGCAUGGUGGGGGUUGGAAAGUUUCGGCGGUUGGGGAUGGACUCGCGGCUUAUCAGCUUGUUGGUGGGGUAGUGGCUUACCAAGGCUUUGACGGGUAGCCGGCCUGAGGGGGUGACCGGGCCAAUGGGGGACGGGAAACGGCCCAGGCCCCAGAGGGGGGGAGGAGGGGGGAAUUUUGCAAAAUGGGGGGAAGGCUGAAGCAGCAACCCCGCGGGGGGGAAGACGGCCUUCGGGUUGUAAACCGUCUUCCCCUGGGAAGAAGGGGGGGGGAGGGGAAUGGGUAAAGAAGGCCCGGCUAACUACGGG
RNAcentral lists this ribosomal RNA (468 nucleotides) under uncultured bacterium. RNAcentral describes it as "partial 16S ribosomal RNA". It matches the Rfam family "Bacterial small subunit ribosomal RNA", at positions 28 to 507 of the family's 1533-position model. The record is from RNAcentral.